CCAGUAUAUUGAAUGAAUGCAUUUUAUUUGUUUCAAACAUGUAAACUAUACAUCAUCAAUCAAAUGAAGACACAAAUAAAAAGCAAAAACAAGGUGAAAGUCAUUUAAAUUAUGACUUUGUAUAAAUACUAGGUAUAAACAGAAAACAAUCUGCACAAAAUGGGCGGAGUCUACUUGUUUGAAAAGG
Molecule: long non-coding RNA, 187 nt
Organism: Syngnathus acus (greater pipefish)
Lineage: Eukaryota; Metazoa; Chordata; Actinopteri; Syngnathiformes; Syngnathidae
Exons: 3
Source: RefSeq, a predicted model, not a curated record